Molecule: ribosomal RNA, 497 nt
Filed under: uncultured bacterium
Lineage: Bacteria
Description: partial 16S ribosomal RNA
Rfam family: Bacterial small subunit ribosomal RNA
Source: RNAcentral
GACGAACGCUGGCGGCGUGCCUAAUACAUGCAAGUUGAGCGCUGAAGGUUGGUACUUGUACCAACUGGAUGAGCAGCGAACGGGUGAGUAACGCGUGGGGAAUCUGCCUUUGAGCGGGGGACAACAUUUGGAAACGAAUGCUAAUACCGCAUAAAAACUUUAAACACAAGUUUUAAGUUUGAAAGAUGCAAUUGCAUCACUCAAAGAUGAUCCCGCGUUGUAUUAGCUAGUUGGUGAGGUAAAGGCUCACCAAGGCGAUGAUACAUAGCCGACCUGAGAGGGUGGUCGGCCACAUUGGGACUGGGACACGGCCCAAACGCCUACGGGAGGCAGCAGUAGGGAAUCUUCGGCAAUGGACGGAAGUCUGACCGAGCAACGCCGCGGGAGGGAAGAAGGUUUUCGGGUCGUAAAACUCUGUUGGUAGAGAAGAACGUUGGUGAGAGUGGAAAGCUCAUCAAGUGACGGUAACUACACAGAAAGGGACGGCUAACUACGUG